AUAAAGAUGAGUUAGAAUUCUCUUCAAAUAAUUUUGUUCCUGGAAUUUUGUGGCUGGAAUCUUUCAAAAGUAAAUAGAGUCUACUCCAGAUUUUCCCUGUGCUGCCCAAAGAGUAGACUUGGAGUAGAGAAAGAGAGAACAGAUGAUGAUGAUCAAAUGUACCUGGAGGAAGCUGCUUUCACCAAAAUGUUGAAUUUGCCUUAUCACGAUUUAUCUGUGAACCUAAGAGUCAUAAGAUUCUCUGAAACAAAGAUGCCAGUGAAGUUGCCUGAUGAAAAAGCCAAGCUUCUAUUAUCUUCCAUUGGACAGUUGUCACCUGCAAAGACCUCUGAGAGGUUGAGCCCUCCAUGAUGGUGACGAUCACAGCAGUAGAUGCUGCUCCAGCCCCACCCUCGGAAAGGAGUCUCCAUGACAGUUGGUUUCACUCUGUUGCUCCGAAGAGAUGUAUUCUGAUGAUCGCCUUCCCUUCAUUCAUUAUGCUACAAUCAUAUUGCUAGGGGACAGAGAUGAAUGCUGUGUACUUAUCUGA
This is a long non-coding RNA of Nycticebus coucang (slow loris), 529 nucleotides long. RefSeq lists it as uncharacterized. The record is from RefSeq and is a predicted model, not a curated record. Lineage: Eukaryota; Metazoa; Chordata; Mammalia; Primates; Lorisidae. The transcript is spliced from 4 exons.